Pelobates cultripes (western spadefoot toad) is the source of this 285-nucleotide non-coding RNA. NCBI's taxonomy places the organism in Eukaryota, Metazoa, Chordata, Amphibia, Anura, Pelobatidae. The record is from the annotation of a GenBank genome assembly.
UGUGUCAAUGUGUGUAUCUGUGUGUCAGGGUGUCUGUGUUUCAGGGUGUGUAUCUGUAUGUGUGUCAAGGUGUGUAUCUGUAUGUGUGUCAGGGUAUGUAUCUGUAUGUGUGUCAGGGUAUGUAUCCUUAAGUGUGUCAGUGUACUUAUAUAUGUGUCUGUAUCUGCAUGUUUGUCAGUAUAUGUAUCUGUGUGUCAAUGUGUGUCUCUGUGUAUGCAUGUCUGUGUGUUUAUCUGCAUAUGUGUCAAGGUGUGCAUCUUUGAGUCAGGGUGUGCAUUUGUGUGU